GAAAAUUAUUAAUAUAGUGUGCGACGAAAGUAAUUGCUCAAAUAUUUUAAUUGUUCAUAUAAAAAAAAAGGAAAUGUUGAGAGUGAAAAUAAAUUUUAUGAAAAUUUAAUUCCUAUAUGGAAAUUAAUGUGAACUGUGGCCAUAACCAUUUAGUAACCAAUCCAAAAGAAAAAUUAUUAAAGAAAACUUAAAAAAAAAUAUCAAACCGAUCCUAAAUGGGUAAAAUAAAAGAAAAGUGAAAAUAAAAUUAUUUCUCCAAUUAUAAUAUCUUUUGUUUUAAUUCAAAAUUAAUAAUUUUAUAAAUUUUCUUUUACUUUCAGCUAAUAAAAUUCAAUUGGACCUGGGAUUUGGCCUUGGUUAGCUGCUUCCGUUCAGGAAAGGCUACAAAUUCAGAUGGGACCUGGACCGGAAAACUAAAUAUGAAAUAAUUUGGACCAAAUUAUGAUUCAAAAAGGUGUUGGUAACAAUUCGUAUUUCCUACAGAAAAACAGCGAGACUGAGGAAGAAGCAACG
This is a long non-coding RNA of Calliphora vicina (urban bluebottle blowfly), 513 nucleotides long. RefSeq lists it as uncharacterized. The record is from RefSeq and is a predicted model, not a curated record. The transcript is spliced from 3 exons. Lineage: Eukaryota; Metazoa; Arthropoda; Insecta; Diptera; Calliphoridae.